GUGUCAGCAGCCGCGGUAAUACGUAGGAGGCGAGCGUUGUCCGGAUUUACUGGGCGUAAAGCGCGCGCAGGCGGCAUGGCAAGUAAGGUGUGAAAUCUCCCUGCCUAACGGGGAGGGUGCACUUUAGACUGCCAAGCUAGAGGACGGUAGAGGGGGGUAGAAUUGCUGGUGUAGCGGUGAAAUGCGUAGAGAUCAGCAGGAAUACCCGUGGCGAAGGCGGCCCCCUGGGCCGAACCUGACGCUGAGGCGCGAAGGCUAGGGGAGCGAACGGGAUUAGAUACCCCGGUAGUCCUAGCAGUAAACGAUGACCACUAGGUGUGGGGGGUGUUGACCCCUUCCGUGCCGAAGCCAACGCAUUAAGUGGUCCGCCUGGGGAGUACGGUCGCAAGACUAAA
RNAcentral lists this ribosomal RNA (395 nucleotides) under uncultured bacterium. RNAcentral describes it as "bacterial SSU rRNA". It matches the Rfam family "Bacterial small subunit ribosomal RNA", at positions 505 to 898 of the family's 1533-position model. The record is from RNAcentral.